GUGCCUGUAUGGCACAGUUAAUUGGGUAUUUGCCUGCCGCCCAAAAGGUUGCUGGUUCAAUUCCAGCCAGGGACA
This 75-nucleotide transfer RNA is filed under the name Sphaerodactylus townsendi. RNAcentral describes it as "tRNA-Gly". Lineage: Eukaryota; Metazoa; Chordata; Lepidosauria; Squamata; Sphaerodactylidae. The record is from RNAcentral.